RNAcentral lists this long non-coding RNA (237 nucleotides) under Erythranthe guttata (spotted monkey flower). Its description in RNAcentral is "long non-coding RNA (EGUT_LNC003113)". Lineage: Eukaryota; Viridiplantae; Streptophyta; Magnoliopsida; Lamiales; Phrymaceae. The record is from RNAcentral.
UCCUCUUUCGUUUUCCCUAACUCCACACACGAAUUUUCGAAUUUUUUUGAAUUUCUCUUCCAAAAAUUCUUCGAUUCCACACACAUAAUUCACUCACACACUCUCCGAUUCUUAUUUUGUGUUGGUAUUGACAGGGAGGCUAGAGAAUCAAACCAACCUCUACAAAAUCUACUCAUUCAAGGCACGCCCACAAGGUGUUCGACAAAUUGCUCCAACCAAGUUUGGGGGUCGAUUCUC